UGUCAGCCUCCUAGGUAGCUAGGAUGACGGGCGUGAGCCACCGAGCGCCUCCUGAGAGACACCCGUAGACAGUGCUCACCGCUUGCUGGCCCUGGGCAGGCGGGAGCCCUCAUGCGCCAUAUCUGGACCCACAGAAACUGACCCGCCGCCUCGCUGAUGGAAGAAUCAGAGAAGCACAGCAGCUGCUGCCCAGGUCCUCCGUCCCACAGGGGGCGCCACCAGGGCUGCGCAAGCUCCUGAGGUGCAUGGGGUUGGAUGAAGAAGGAACGUAGGAGUGGAGGGAGAGGCCAAGAGGUCCAGAGUCCAGGAAAAUGUCACUGGGAAGGAGCCAGCAUGGAGCCACACAGUGUCCCUCCCUCUAC
This is a long non-coding RNA of Dipodomys ordii (Ord's kangaroo rat), 362 nucleotides long. RefSeq lists it as uncharacterized. The record is from RefSeq and is a predicted model, not a curated record. NCBI's taxonomy places the organism in Eukaryota, Metazoa, Chordata, Mammalia, Rodentia, Heteromyidae. The transcript is spliced from 3 exons.